GACGAACGCUGGCGGCGCGCCUAACACAUGCAAGUCGAACGGAGUCAAGAGGAGCUUGCUUUUCUUGACUUAGUGGCGAACGGGUGAGUAACGCGUGAGUAACCUGCCCUGGAGUGGGGGACAACAGUUGGAAACGACUGCUAAUACCGCAUAAGCCCACGGAUCCGCAUGGAUCUGCGGGAAAAGGAUUUAUUCGCUUCAGGAUGGACUCGCGUCCAAUUAGCUAGUUGGUGAGGUAACGGCCCACCAAGGCGACGAUUGGUAGCCGGAUUGAGAGGUUGAACGGCCACAUUGGGACUGAGACACGGCCCAGACUCCUACGGGAGGCAGCAGUGGGGGAUAUUGCACAAUGGGGGAAACCCUGAUGCAGCGACGCCGCGUGGAGGAAGAAGGUUUUCGGAUUGUAAACUCCUGUCGUUAGGGACGAUAAUGACGGUACCUAACAAGAAAGCACCGGCUAACUACGUG
Molecule: ribosomal RNA, 468 nt
Filed under: uncultured bacterium
Lineage: Bacteria
Description: partial 16S ribosomal RNA
Rfam family: Bacterial small subunit ribosomal RNA
Source: RNAcentral